RNAcentral lists this transfer RNA (75 nucleotides) under Candidatus Aminicenantota bacterium. RNAcentral describes it as "Candidatus Aminicenantes bacterium tRNA-Arg". It matches the Rfam family "tRNA". From Rfam's summary of the family: Transfer RNA (tRNA) molecules are approximately 80 nucleotides in length. Their secondary structure includes four short double-helical elements and three loops (D, anti-codon, and T loops). Further hydrogen bonds mediate the characteristic L-shaped molecular structure. tRNAs have two regions of fundamental functional importance: the anti-codon, which is responsible for specific mRNA codon recognition, and the 3' end, to which the tRNAs corresponding amino acid is attached (by aminoacyl-tRNA synthetases). tRNAs cope with the degeneracy of the genetic code in two manners: having more than one tRNA (with a specific anti-codon) for a particular amino acid; and 'wobble' base-pairing, i.e. permitting non-standard base-pairing at the 3rd anti-codon position. The record is from RNAcentral. Lineage: Bacteria; Candidatus Aminicenantota. RNAcentral also lists the same sequence under 1 other name.
GCCCCUGUAGCUCAGUAUGGAUAGAGCAAGGGAUUCCUAAUCCCUGUGCCGGGAGUUCGAGUCUCCCCAGGGGCA